Molecule: small nuclear RNA, 199 nt
Organism: Xenopus tropicalis (tropical clawed frog)
Lineage: Eukaryota; Metazoa; Chordata; Amphibia; Anura; Pipidae
Gene: U2
Rfam family: U2 spliceosomal RNA
About the family: U2 is a small nuclear RNA (snRNA) component of the spliceosome (involved in pre-mRNA splicing). Complementary binding between U2 snRNA (in an area lying towards the 5' end but 3' to hairpin I) and the branchpoint sequence (BPS) of the intron results the bulging out of an unpaired adenosine, on the BPS, which initiates a nucleophilic attack at the intronic 5' splice site, thus starting the first of two transesterification reactions that mediate splicing.
Source: Ensembl
AUCGCUUCUCGGCCCCCUUUGGCUAAGAUCAAGUGUAGAUUCUGUUUUUAUCAGUUUAAUAUCUUUGAUUACGUCCCCCAAUCUGGGACCAUAUAUUAAAAUAUGAUAUUUUUGGAACAGGGAGAUGGAAGAAAAGCUUGCUCUGUCACUCCACGCAUCGACCUGGUAUUGCAGUACCUCCAGGACCGGUGCACCCUCU